RNAcentral lists this long non-coding RNA (1205 nucleotides) under Homo sapiens (human). Its description in RNAcentral is "PREDICTED lncRNA (TCONS_00262060)". The record is from RNAcentral. Lineage: Eukaryota; Metazoa; Chordata; Mammalia; Primates; Hominidae.
UUCUCUGUUGCUUCCUUCAGACAGACCAUUCAGGCAUUUGCCAGUGAAUUGAGAGUGACCACACCCUAUUUCUUUACCUACAUUGUUAACUGUCUUGCUGUCUCUGUCUGACUUCUUAUUCCUGCCUCAUGUAACCUAGAGAAGGAGGACUGCCCUUCAGACUCAUUAUGCCCUUUCUGUCCAGGAUCUUAUUCCUGUGGAAUAGGAAGGGUUAAAUGCAGGAAGAAGUGGGUUUGCAGCCACUACAGACACUGGAACUGAAAACUGACAAGACAGCUGGAGGUGCUGGGAAAACAAGCACUAAUGAGCUCCUGGGUUCCAUCUUGUGGGAGAAUGCCAGCAGAUGACUUCAGGCCCAUGUGCUGAACACUGCCAAGUUACAAGUCAUGGGCACAUAAAGAUGCAAAUAUGCUCAAGGCGGCUCUACCAUGGCAAAACAGACCAAGCCAACCAUCCCGGCCAGAUGGUAUGUGGUUUGAGUGCCAGGUACCUUCCAGAUGUACAGCACCUUUGAUAUAAGAACAAGGAAGACACGAUGCAUCGCAAAAAGAGCACCUGAAUUCUGGUCAUAGCUUUUAGCUCUGGAUCUGUCAUUUCCCCUUACUGAGCCUCAGCUGCCACAUCCAUUAAGUGAGAAUUAAAACAAUCAACCUAAAUGUAUGGAUGUCAUGAAGAUGCAAUGAGACCGUGGAUGUCAAGUGAUCAGUGUGGCCUGUGGCUAGAGGAGACACUCAGUAAAGUAGAUUCUUUCUGCCUUACUCCUCUUUUCUUUGUUGUUAUAGUGGCACAGUUUAGCAAUGCCACUUAGCAGAGUGAAUUGGCAGAUGAAAUGCUCAUUAAAAUGAAGCUCAUGACAUUAUUUGAUGGACGGGAGCUUCUCAAUUAAGUACCUAAGUGUUUAAGGCUAUCUGAUGCUUCCAGGAAUGUGUGCUGAAUCCUCUUUACAUUUGUUGAAAAAUGUUUUAAUCCUUCCAAGAAGGAAAGGGAUUAUCCUAAUGACUCUGCAUCUGCCAUGCCCUGGCUUCUUCAUUCCAGGCUUCAGGGACAAUAUCCAGGAGAGUCCCAACAGUGACAUCUAGAGGACAGUCUCUCCCCUCUGGAUAAAAUUUGGAUUCAAAGUGAGUCCUUAACCUGAGCAAGGGUCAUUUCAACUAUUAGGUUGGUGCAAAAGUAAUUGAGGCUUUUGACCAAUUCCUUGAUAUCAC